UUCUUCUUGCUAGCGGCCGGUGCUCGA
This 27-nucleotide small RNA is filed under the name Bombyx mori (domestic silkworm). Its description in RNAcentral is "ovarian small RNA-37570". The record is from RNAcentral. Lineage: Eukaryota; Metazoa; Arthropoda; Insecta; Lepidoptera; Bombycidae.